Molecule: ribosomal RNA, 373 nt
Filed under: uncultured bacterium
Lineage: Bacteria
Description: bacterial SSU rRNA
Rfam family: Bacterial small subunit ribosomal RNA
Source: RNAcentral
AGCGAACGCUGGCGGCGUACUUAACACAUGCAAGUCGAACGAGGAUCAUCGGGUUAGCAAUAAUUCGGUGGUCCUAGUGGCGCACGGGUGAGUAACACGUGGGUGACCUGCCCUUGAGCUCGGGAUACCCCCCUCGAAAGGGGGGCUAAUACCGGAUACGUUCCUCGGUCGAAAGACUGAGGAGGAAAGGUGGCGCAAGCUGCCGCUCUUGGAGGGGCUCGCGGCCUAUCAGCUAGUUGGCGGGGUAACGGCCCACCAAGGCUAUGACGGGUAGCUGGUCUGAGAGGACGACCAGCCACACGGGGGCUGAGACACGGCCCCGACUCCUACGGGAGGCAGCAGUGGGGAAUCUUGCGCAAUGGGCGAAAGCCUG